Long non-coding RNA from Camelus dromedarius (Arabian camel), 1309 nucleotides. RefSeq lists it as uncharacterized. The transcript has 4 exons. The record is from RefSeq and is a predicted model, not a curated record. Lineage: Eukaryota; Metazoa; Chordata; Mammalia; Artiodactyla; Camelidae.
UCCCGCCCAUGUGCCCACACACACAAGCCUGCGCCCCCUCUGAUGGGCUGUUGCCUGCCAAGUGGGUCUGGCUGACACUCUUAGGACAAGUUCUCCAUCCUGGACCCCCUGGAACAGGUGCCCACGAAAGUCAUUCUGAAGCCCUGGUCAUGAAGGACACUUAUAGGCCUGUGUCCCUGCUGGGGCCUCACUGUGCGGUAAUGACCUGCUCACUCGACUGCCUCCUCCAGCAGGGCCUUGUCUUACUGUCACAGCGGACACGCAGCGGGCACUGGGCGAAUAAGUACAUGCUUAUGAGGACAGCAAGGCUAAAGGACUUGCCCGAGUUGUUCACCAGGAAGCCUGAGUGUCAAGCCUGCACCCUGGACCACUGGCCCAGCAACGUCCCUAUGGAGGUGGAGCAACUGAGCCCCGGCUGGCCCCAGUAACCUGGAUCCAGAAUCCUUCCCUCCUUGGACUGGACUUCUCCUUCCAUAAAACAGGCUUAACUGCACUUGCCACCUGGUGAUGGGGCUCUUUGAGCAACCUGGAUAAAAGAUUGUGUAAAAUAGGAGCCCUGUCGCCAGACUGGGCGGGGUGGAGUAGGGAGCCCACAUCAGAUCCCCAGGAGGCAGAGAAACAGCCCUUGGGGGUCAGGAGGCACCAAGAUUCUCUGAGGUUACUGCCUCCUGUCAGCUGUCAGACGUGUUCCCACAGGCAGAAAGCCUGAAAUAAAGCCUCCUCUCACCCAGGACACUCUGUCUGUGAUGGUUAAAUGACAGACGCUGACACCCUGGCAGCUGAUGGGCACAGACAGCCAGGAGGAAGAUACAGAUGUGGCCUUGGCUGCAGGGAAGUGGCUAGACGUGCCUACUAGGUGUGCAUUUGACACAAGCAUUCUGAGCACUAGUAGGGUGGGUCCGGGCACAAGUAUUCGGAGUCAUGGGGGAGGCAGACAGGACACGGCUCAUUCCACCACCACGUGGGGGGGAAUGGGGAAGUCUGGUCUCUGGAAGCUACCUGACUCGCCUCCAAGGCCAAAAUAAACCCUUCUCCCUUCUGAAGACCACAGGUGGCACAAGCCCUUUGUGCUGAAGCAGCUCCGCCCCUCACUUGACGUCACCGAGGAAACAGGCCAAGAAGCCUUGUCGAGUUGACCGUCACACAGCCAGUUGCGUGACAGACAGGACAGUUGUUAUUAUUCGCAUUUUACAAAUGAGAGGUGCAGUGGCUCACAGAGCAGGUCACAGAGCAAGCCAGUGGUGCCCCGGCCUAGACCCGGGGCCACAGAUUCUGCAUCCUCCUUGCUUUUCACCGCAGCCCACGCUGA